CUCCGGUUGAUCCUGCCGGACCUGACUGCUAUCGGAUUGGUACUAAGCCAUGCGAGUCAUUGUAGCAAUACAGGGCGGACGGCUCAGUAACACGUAGUCAACCUAACUCGUGGACGUGGAUAACCUCGGGAAACUGAGAAUAAACCACGAUAGAUCAUAGUGCCUGGAAUGGCUUAUGGUCCAAACAGUUUACUGCCAUGGGAUGGGACUGCGGCCUAUCAGCUUGUUGGUGAGGUAAUGGCCCACCAAGGCGAUUACAGGUACGGGCUCUGAGAGGAGAAGCCCGGAGAUGGGUACUGAGACACGGACCCAGGCCCUAUGGGGCGCAGCAGGCGAGAAACCUUAGCAAUGUGCGAAAGCACGACUGGGUCAGUCCGAGUGAUUCCUGAUAAAGGAGUCUUUUGCUUGUCCUAAAAGCACAGGUGAAUAAGGGGUGGGCAAGUCUGGUGUCAGCCGCCGCGGUAAUACCAGCACCUCGAGUGGUCAGGACGUUUAUUGGGCCUAAAGCAUCCGUAGCCGGCUCUGCAAGUCUUCGGUUAAAUCCACCUGCUCAACAGAUGGGCUGCUGGAGAUACUACAGAGCUAGGGAGUGGGAGAGGCAGACGGUAUUCAGUGGGUAGGGGUAAAAUCCUCUGAUCCAUUGAGGACCACCAGUGGCGAAGGCGGUCUGCCAGAACACGUUCGACGGUGAGGGAUGAAAGCUGGGGGAGCAAACCGGAUUAGAUACCCGGGUAGUCCCAGCUGUAAACGAUGCAAACUCGGUGAUGCAUUGGCUUAUGGCCAAUGCAGUGCCGCAGGGAAGCCGUUAAGUUUGCCGCCUGGGAAGUACGGACGCAAGUCUGAAACUUAAAGGAAUGGCGGGGGAGCA
RNAcentral lists this ribosomal RNA (868 nucleotides) under uncultured archaeon. RNAcentral describes it as "bacterial SSU rRNA". It matches the Rfam family "Archaeal small subunit ribosomal RNA", at positions 1 to 878 of the family's 1478-position model. The record is from RNAcentral.